AAUGGAGGCCUGACCUGGGAGACAGGCAUUUUCACAUCCUGUUCACAAAUCCUCAUCAUCAAUAAUGUGUGAAGACAACUGGGAAUGACAGAGGGUCUCUUUCUUUCGCAGGAUCAUGUUAUCUUUAACCCCCUUUCCGCUGCUCGUGGUCCUCUGGACAGCCCUUCUCCAGCGUCACAAACAUUUGCUCUUGUUAAGGUUGGGGCCGUUUUCCCUCCCUCCUCUGGGCCUUGCCCGCCCGUGCGCCCCCAACCCCGGCUCCCCCUCGCCUGUGUUACUAGGGAUGCUGUUUUGUUUUCUUUUCUCCCUUUGUUUUGCCUCUUUAAGAAAAGAAAAGUGAGCACCUGAGAAAGAGAGCGAGAGGGAGGCCGAGGGAGAAGAGACGGCGAGCACCAAAUGAUCUGAGAAUGAUAAAGGAAGGUUACCUGUGUGUUUGUCAACAAGAUGAAAUAAAUAAGAGCAAAAAAAAAAGAGGACAGCAGUCAAAGGCAAUCAAAUAUGUAUUUAAUUAAAGCAAACAUAAAAAUAAAAGUUACAUGUUGAAUCAAUAAACAGCACUUUUUUCUACAUGCAUUUUGAACAAGACAGAUCAGAAUCUUGCAUGAUGAAGACAUAAUGUGUCAUAAUAAUCAGGAACACAGACAAAAGAACAGCUAAUCAGCAUGCAAAUGUAUGCAGUUCUGGUGAUUCAGAUGAGGCAGAUUUCUACCUCUUUUUUGCUUGAUUCAUCUUCAUUGCUAAUCAUCUGAAGGCUGCCAAAUGUUCACUGACACUAAUGUAUUAUAGGUCAAGAGAGGCAGGUCUUCACCUAUUACCCCCCCGAACAAUAUGCUUCCCUUCCCUGUUUCCUCUUCAGGAUUUUCAGCAAUCACUGCCAGAUGCAAUCAGACUCCUUGAAUAGGAGCAACUGAGGCUUGUUUGUGGCUCGGAUUCAUUAGAAUCAGGAGGCUGAAGAAAGGAAUAAAUUACUUAAUUGCACAAAAAAGUUGCAGCCAAAGUGAUGGAGAUGAUCAAGUUGAAUAAAACCCUUGUUGUCCACCUCCUGAAUGCUCCUUCGCACGAGAUGCAGGAAACGGGAAGACCUCACCGGCCUGCCGCGCAGGGACGUGGGCCCCAGCCUGAACUGAGGAGGAGAGAGGGGUUGCUCAAAUGGGGCAAAGAAAGAAAGAAGUUGCUCUAUUUUCUAACCACUGGGAUUCCUUUCUUGCCUCAGACUAACUCUUAAUCUGUUAAAAAAAAUAAAAAUAAAAAGGCACACUGUUAACCAGGGCUGUUCACAUAGAACCAAGGGAGAAGAAACAAAACCGCUCAGAACACUCUCACGUGCUCCGCCCCCCCUUUCUCUGGCACUCCGCGCGUCUCUGGCCGGGGGGCCUCUGUCUCAGGCGUUGCACUCAGGUUUUUGGUCAUGUGCCCGACUUGUGGGUGGUCUUCAAGUCUUGAAGAAGGAACUUCAUUUUCUCUCUGAAGUCCUUGCAUGGCUAGUAGCUGUGUCUCUCUGUCUGUGUGUAUAUGUGUGUGUAUGUAGAGGGUGUGAGAGGAAGAGGUUGAUGCAAGAUGAGGCCCCAGCAGGGAAGAAAUGGGGAAAGAAAUAAUGAAGAUGGAUUUU
Molecule: long non-coding RNA, 1609 nt
Filed under: Equus asinus (donkey)
Lineage: Eukaryota; Metazoa; Chordata; Mammalia; Perissodactyla; Equidae
Description: lncRNA (ENSEASG00005027132.1)
Source: RNAcentral